Molecule: long non-coding RNA, 1741 nt
Organism: Gossypium arboreum
Lineage: Eukaryota; Viridiplantae; Streptophyta; Magnoliopsida; Malvales; Malvaceae
Exons: 2
Source: RefSeq, a predicted model, not a curated record
AGCAUACCCUAACGGGUUCAUCUGUUUGGUGUUUUCUUUUUUUUUUUCAUUCUUAUUCUCCUGCUCUUGCGUUUCCAACCAGAAAAAAGAAGAAGAAGAAUCUAUAUCUCAAGCAUCAAUCAAAGUAAAAUUUUGAGGAAUUGAAUCUACAAUUGGUUUUCUCUUUUCUUAUUCCAGGCUAGUGUUGAUAACCCAUUUCCAAUUGCUUUCAAAAGUUCCAUUGUUCUUUUUUUUAGUCUUAUUAUGUAUUCUUUUAUGUGAAUCUUAAGUGGAUUAGAUAUAUGUUUUUUAAUAUUUUGUGUCCAAUGUUGAAAUUGAAAGUAAAGAAAGUUAAGAGAUAAUGAGAUUACCUUCUUGUUAUGUUAUCUUUUGUCUUGAUUUACUUGCUCAACGUUUCCAACUAAUUUUUAUCUCAAACCACUGUUCAAAUCUUGUCCUAAUGUGGGUUCUUGAGGUUGUAGGAAGAUUCGUGGCAAACCACCCAAGUUUCAAGUUUCUCUAUCCUUAUUUUUUUUUAACCUCUUAUCCUACAUUUAAUCUCCUUUUACUUAUCAGUUUUGAAGUUUCAAAGUUAAGAAAGAUUUCAUUUAAUAUUUAGAUGAGAAAGCAGGUAGUAGCCUGGAAAAAUCACCAAAAUGUUCUUUUUUUAACUUAUGAACCCCAUGCUCAUGUCAAAAUAAGCAUUAGAUACUGGUUUCCAGCAAAAAUACUUCCAAGGCAAAUGAAAAUUUAAAGCAACGUAGCCUACAGUGCAAUUGAUCUCCUUAAUAAAUAACAGUUCUAUUUACUUCAGUUUUCAUCAAUGAAAAAUUUUGGAGAAUUGGAAAAACAAUAAUUUUAAAACACACACAUAGCAGAGAAAAAUGUGAGAUGGCAGUGAAGUAUGGAACUCGGCUAUGCUCUAUUUUUGGUUCCGUGAGGAUUUUGACGUGUUUAAUGACAUGAAUGACCUUGGUCAGCUAAUAUGAAAGUAGCAUGUUGGGCAUGUUUUUUGGUAAAAUAAAAAGGUGGUCUUGUUUAACUAAUAAGCAUUAAGUUAAUGAAGGUGAGAUUUGCAUGUUUCUGUAAGAGAGAAGAGUUGGUCCAUGGUGUUCUUUAGUUUAAAUUUUCAGACUGUUCUUGCCUCUAUGAUGUUGCCUUUUUCUUUAUCAUUUGUAAUAAGGUUUGACCUUUCAGCUGAGAGACAAAAGAGUUCAUGAAUGAAUGGCCUCAGGUGUUAAGCUGAAUCAUAAUUAAUUUUUUCCCUAUAGCAUGUGCAGAGUUCAUCAAUGGCAUGUAAAAGAAAACAUGCUGCCACCCCUUGUACACGGAAAAAGCCUCCACCAUCAGCUCCUGUACAGAAUACUAGGACUCCAAUGUAAAAUUUUAGUUUGUGUUUCGAACUCCGGAAGAUGAAGAACGUUACUACCAAAAGUUCUGUCACCAAGAAGUCAGGGCUGGAAGGGUAAGGUCUCUCGGACUCGUAUUGUUUGCGUGAUCGGGACCGUCGCUGAAGUCAUCACAACGGCUGAAAUCUUGUGGUAUUGUUUUUGUUGUUGAAGAACAUUUGGCAUGUAUAGGCUAUUAUAUUUUGUCGAAUUGUGGGUUGUAAACUUUAAGCCAUGUGAAAAUGGCCUAUGUGGUCGUCGAGUGGGAUGCUAGAACCUAUAGCCACGAGUCUUAGAAACUCUAAUUUUGAUAAGGCGGCCAUAAUUUGUUUCAUGUAUGAUGGAUGAUUAAGGCCAAGGGAAAAUUCAUGAAA